GAGGUCAUACUGGAUUGGGGGGUGGGGUUAAAUCCAAUGACUGGUGUCCUUCCAAGAAUGCCAUGUAAAGGCAUGGAGGGACACGAAGAAGAGAACCAUGUGAACCUGGACAGAGCCUGGACUGGGCCGCUGCCAGCCAAGGAACACCAAGGACUGCCGGGAGCCCCCAAAAUCAGGGAGUGACAAGAGAGGAUCCUUCCCUGGAGCCUUCAGAAAAGACUCACCCUACAAGAAUAUGCAGUUCCCCCUCAGAGAGUCUUUUGGGUAUUGCAAAUGUUGCAAAAAAUUCAAGUCAUACAGGAGAGAAAAGUUCAGUAUCACCUCAAACCAUAGCAGAUGGCAACAGAAUACCUGCCCAGGGAACCUGGCUUCCAUUCCAGAGCAGCAGCAUCAUCAAGGUGUGAUGAAUCAUUGCCACCGUCUGUGUUACAAAGCGAUGACUUUCUGAGAUGAUAUUGCUGAUGAUUUUGGUGAUAAAUGAAGAAAAAUGAAUUUUCCUGGUGCUGCCCUCCAACUCUUGAGUCUCCAAGUUCUUAGGUUCUUGUAUUUUCUUCAUUCACUGUAAACUUGAAAUUGUGGGAUUGUUUCUUGAGAAGGUUUACCAGCUCUGGGGAAGAUUUGACAGAUACUUUCUGAAGGCCCAUGAAUAUCUUUUUGCUGUUGUUGCUGUGGGUAUAUAUAUUUUUGAAAUGUAGUUGAUAUACAAUAUUAUAUUGGCUUCAAGUAUACAACACAGUUAUUCAGUUAUAUGCAUUAUUCAGUUAUUGGCAUUAUUAAAUCCUCACCCCACCUAACGUAGUUACUUUUCAACAUAGAAAUACAUUAAAAAACUAAUGACUAUAUUCUCUACACUCUACUUUCAUCCCUGUGACUGAUUUAUAUUAUGACUGAGAUUUUGUAACUCUUUAUCCCCUUCACCUAUUUCACCCACCCACCCCAGCCCCUUCCCCAUGGUAACCAUCAGUUACUUCUCAUUGUCUGUGAGUCUAUUGCUGUUUGUUCAUUUUGUUUUAUUUUGUUUUUUAGAUUCCACAAAAAAGUGAAAUCAUAUGGUAUUUGCCUUUCUUUGCCUGACUUAUUUCACUUAGCAUAAUACCCUCUAGGUCUUUCUGUGUUGUCACAAAUGGCAGGAUUUCUUUCUUUUUUUUAAUGGAUGAAUAUUAUUAUUAUUAAUAUAUUAUAUUGUGUCAUAUUAAUAAUAUGUUAAUGAUAUUAUUCUAUUGUGUAUAUGUACCACAUCUUCUUUAUCCAUUCAUCUAUUGACAGACGCACUGUUGCUUUCACAUCUUAGCUAUUGUAAAUAAUGCAGUA
Manis pentadactyla (Chinese pangolin) is the source of this 1311-nucleotide long non-coding RNA. RefSeq lists it as uncharacterized. The transcript is spliced from 3 exons. The record is from RefSeq and is a predicted model, not a curated record. NCBI's taxonomy places the organism in Eukaryota, Metazoa, Chordata, Mammalia, Pholidota, Manidae.